This 65-nucleotide transfer RNA is filed under the name Dipodomys ordii (Ord's kangaroo rat). It matches the Rfam family "tRNA". From Rfam's summary of the family: Transfer RNA (tRNA) molecules are approximately 80 nucleotides in length. Their secondary structure includes four short double-helical elements and three loops (D, anti-codon, and T loops). Lineage: Eukaryota; Metazoa; Chordata; Mammalia; Rodentia; Heteromyidae. The record is from Rfam by way of RNAcentral.
GGUGGCUCAGUGGUAGAGUGCUUGCCUUGCAUGCAAGAGGUCCUGGGUUCAAUUCCUCAGCACCA